UGCGCAGGCGGAUUAAUAAGUCGGGGGUUAAAUCCAUGUGCUUAACACAUGCACGGCUUCCGAUACUGUUGAUCUAGAGUCUCGAAGAGGAAGGUGGAAUUUCCGGUGUAACGGUGGAAUGUGUAGAUAUCGGAAAGAACACCAGUGGCGAAGGCAGCCUUCUGGUCGAGUACUGACGCUCAUGCACGAAAGCGUGGAGAGCAAACAG
Molecule: ribosomal RNA, 208 nt
Filed under: uncultured Chlorobaculum sp.
Lineage: Bacteria; Pseudomonadati; Chlorobiota; Chlorobiia; Chlorobiales; Chlorobiaceae
Description: partial 16S ribosomal RNA
Rfam family: Bacterial small subunit ribosomal RNA
Source: RNAcentral